UACGGGGGGGGCAAGCGUUGUUCGGAAUUACUGGGCGUAAAGGGCGCGUAGGCGGUCAGACCAAGUCGAAUGUUAAAUUCCAGGGCUUAACUUUGGACGGUCGUUCGAUACUGGUCGGCUAGAGUGUGGAAGAGGAUGCUGGAAUUCCCGGUGUAGCGGUGAAAUGCGUAGAUAUCUGGAGGAACACCGGUGGCGAAGGCGGCAUCCUGGACCAAUAUUGACGCUGAGGAGCGGAAGCCAGGGGAGCAAACGGG
Molecule: ribosomal RNA, 254 nt
Filed under: uncultured bacterium
Lineage: Bacteria
Description: partial 16S ribosomal RNA
Rfam family: Bacterial small subunit ribosomal RNA
Source: RNAcentral